AACGAACGCUGGCGGCAUGCCUAACACAUGCAAGUCGAGCGGAGCGAGGGUGCUUGCACCUUAGCUUAGCGGCGGACGGGUGAGUAAUGCUUAGGAAUCUGCCUAUUAGUGGGGGGCAACAUUCCGAAAGGAAUGCUCAUACCGCAUACGCCCUACGGGGGAAAGCAGGGAAUCUUCGGACCUUGCGCUAAUAGAUGAGCCGAGGGCGGAUUAGCUAGUUGGUGGGGUAAAGGCCUACCAAGGCGACGAUCUGUAGCGGGUCUGAGAGGAUGAUCCGCCACACUGGGACUGAGACACGGCCCAGACUCCUACGGGAGGCAGCAGUGGGGAAUAUUGGACAAUGGGCGGAAGCCUGAUCCAGCCAUGCCGCGUGUGUGAAGAAGGCCUUUUGGUUGUAAAGCACUUUAAGCGAGGAGGAGGCUACUAGUAUUAAUACUACUGGAUAGUGGACGUUACUCGCAGAAUAAGCACCGGCUAACUCUGUGCCAGCAGCCGCAGUAA
This 501-nucleotide ribosomal RNA is filed under the name uncultured bacterium. RNAcentral's name for it is "partial 16S ribosomal RNA". It matches the Rfam family "Bacterial small subunit ribosomal RNA", at positions 29 to 523 of the family's 1533-position model. The record is from RNAcentral.